This 223-nucleotide unclassified non-coding RNA is filed under the name uncultured fungus. Its description in RNAcentral is "sequence contains ITS2". Lineage: Eukaryota; Fungi. The record is from RNAcentral.
AACUCUCAACCCCACAGGUUUUGUAAUGAGACCUUGUGCGGGCUUGGAUCCUGAGCGUUGCAGGCGUAACAGCCGGCUCGUUCGAAAUGCAUUAGCGAUCACGCACUUGGCGUUGGUUUGACUUGAAGUGAUAGUAAACAUUUCCUUCAAGGACACUUCCCCUCAAAAGGACAGUGACCAGGCUUUGGGCCGGAACGCUCAUAAAACCCCUUUAUUCAUCAUG